RNAcentral lists this ribosomal RNA (568 nucleotides) under uncultured prokaryote. RNAcentral's name for it is "bacterial SSU rRNA". It matches the Rfam family "Bacterial small subunit ribosomal RNA", at positions 338 to 916 of the family's 1533-position model. The record is from RNAcentral.
CCUACGGGAGGCAGCAGUGGGGAAUAUUGCACAAUGGGCGAAAGCCUGAUGCAGCAACGCCGCGUGAGGGAUGAAGGCCUUCGGGUUGUAAACCUCUUUUAGCAGGGAAGAAGCGAAAGUGACGGUACCUGCAGAAAAAGCACCGGCUAACUACGUGCCAGCAACCGCGGUAAUACGUAGGGUGCAAGCGUUGUCCGGAAUUAUUGGGCGUAAAGAGCUCGUAGGCGGUUUGUCGCGUCUGCUGUGAAAUCCUGAGGCUCAACCUCAGGUCUGCAGUGGGUACGGGCAAGCUAGAGUGCGGUAGGGGAGAUGGGAACUCCUGGUGUAGCGGUGGAAUGCGCAGAUAUCAGGAGGAACACCGAUGGCGAAGGCACAUCUCUGGGCCGUAACUGACGCUGAGGAGCGAAAGCGUGGGGAGCGAACAGGAUUAGAUACCCUGGUAGUCCACGCCGUAAACGGUGGGUGCUAGUUGUGGGUUCCAUUCCACGGAAUCCGUGACGAAGUUAACACAUUAAGCACCCCGCCUGGGGAGUACGGUCGCAAGACUAAAACUCAAAGGAAUUGACGG